UACCCUUGACAUGUCCGGAAUCCCGAAGAGAUUUGGGAGUGCUCGCAAGAGAACCGGAACACAGGUGCUGCAUGGCUGUCGUCAGCUCGUGUCGUGAGAUGUUGGGUUAAGUCCCGCAACGAGCGCAACCCUUGUCAUUAGUUGCCAUCAUUUGGUUGGGCACUCUAAUGAGACUGCCGGUGACAAACCGGAGGAAGGUGGGGAUGACGUCAAGUCCUCAUGGCCCUUAUGGGUAGGGCUUCACACGUCAUACAAUGGUCGGUACAGAGGGUUGCCAACCCGCGAGGGGGAGCUAAUCCCACAAAGCCGAUCGUAGUCCGGAUCGCAGUCUGCAACUCGACUGCGUGAAGUCGGAAUCGCUAGUAAUCGUGGAUCAGCAUGUCACGGUGAAUACGUUCCCGGGUCUU
Molecule: ribosomal RNA, 407 nt
Filed under: uncultured Rhodocyclaceae bacterium
Lineage: Bacteria; Pseudomonadati; Pseudomonadota; Betaproteobacteria; Rhodocyclales; Rhodocyclaceae
Description: bacterial SSU rRNA
Rfam family: Bacterial small subunit ribosomal RNA
Source: RNAcentral